AUUUUUACUGCAAAAGGAAGAUCCCUCUUUUGAUAUUUACUACAUAAGCCGCCUCUAAACCUUUCUUCUCUCUUCCUCAUAUCUGAACGCUUCUAUUUUUCUGGAAGGUAAGAGAUGCCAUGGUUAUCGAUGCCAGCAAAAAGUUCUGAAUAAGGUACAUCCUGAUUCUCUUUCGAAUCAAUAUGAUUUUGAAUCGAUCUUAUAUUUAUGCUGUUUUAAGGGAUCUGUUAAAUCACAAUUUGUAUUCAAAGAAACUUAAAUCUGGGUCGAUAUUCUGCAUGAUGAUCCGGUUUUAUUCAAUCGAUCCGAAUGCGAAGUUGGAUGGAUUUUUCAAAGUACAUGGUGUUACUAAGAUAUGUUCGGCCGUGAUUUCUCUGUUCAAAGAAUUUGGUAUGUUUGGAUUUUCAUCUAUGCCUUAUCCCGAGCAUAGAGACCCUUCAUUCUAUGCGAUAAAACAUAACGUUUUAAUUGUUCUUAAGAAUGACAAACAAGUAGAUCAUAACUAUAUUAUUUUGGAUUGUGAAUUGUUCAAGAAGUUGAAAAUCCAUCGAAGCUGGGCAAAGAUAUUGCAAUAAGAAAAUAGAAUACCCAUUGAAGCUGUCCAAAAAUUUAAAUUUUGAUAGUUUGUAUGACAUGUUUUAAAGCUUUUUUAUCUGUGGACAAAAUGAUAAUUUAAUUAUAGAUGAUAGAUGUAUUUUGCUUAUACUAUGUUUUCAAACUAUCCUAUUAUAGAAUGAUAGACAAUGCUUUGAAACGUUUCUAUUUGUAAGUACCAUCCAUCAAAACUAUAAUUGGCAAACGUAUUUAUGAUUCUUUCACUAAUUGAUUUUAUUGUGGUAUAGGGAGCAUGGAACUCAUGUGAAAAUUUGGGAGUAAUUGUAAAUAAAGUUUCAUAUAUGUAUUCUUAGAUGGUCUUGUGCAAAAAAAGUAAUUACUUAAGUUGUUUCAUAUAAUUAGGGUGUUCAUAUCCAUAUAAUUAUAGGUUUACAAUCCUUCUGUUUGUUUGUUUCUUUGAACCAAUAUAUUGGAAAAGGGAAAAAAAGAGAGAUUUGUUGCAGGACUAUUAUAUAAUUUAUUUAUUUUUAUAAUUUUAAUCCAAUGUUGCAAUUAAACCAAAGUGUUUAGUCCUCUUUUAUUAAGUUUUUUAUUUUUUAAAAUGUUGCUUUUUUAAAACUAAAAUUUGGAAUGAAGUGUUAUUAAAAAAAAUGGAAUGAAGUAGUUUUUCUUUCCUUCUUGAUGCAAAGAUAGCAAUUUGUUGCCCAAUCUUUAAUAUAAAACUGCCUCCUACUUGCAAGAUAAGUCGAUAUAUAGAAUUUUUGUAGAUUAAAAAUACUCUUCAGUGUUUUUGUUUCCCAUUCAGUGUUCUGGAAUUGCUACUCUAAUAUAAAGCUUCCUAGGUAGGUACUAAGCAGAGAAUAUUUUACUGAUGUUACCUAUCAAUACGGGAUAAAUAAUUUUUUUGGUCACUGUACUAGGGUCCGGUUUUUAUUGUGGUUAUCAAAAUUUUUUUUGUUACAAUCGAAUAACUGUACUUUCAAAAAUUUACCAAAUAGUCAUUCCUUAUGAAUUCCGUCCAAAAAACGGACGGGAAGUGCUGAGUUGGCGAUUUGACUCCGUUUUUUUUGCUAAUAUGUAUAUAGUUUUGCCAUGUAUAUCAUUAUGUGUCAAGCACAUGCUCAUAAAUAUUAAGAAUAAUUGUAUCUUAAUAAUAAUUUUAAAAUAAUAAUAAUAAAAAUAAUAUUAUUAAGAAUAAUAAAAAUAAUAAUAAUAAUUUUAAGAAUAAUAAUAAUUUCAAAAUAAUAAUAAUAACAAUAAUAAUAAUAAUAAUUUUUAAUUAAUAAAAAUAAUAAUAAUUACAAAAUAAUAAUAAUAAUUUCAUAAUAAUAAUUUGCUAUCUGUCUAUUUCACAAUAGAUUGAUUCGCUAAUUCAUGUCCCAGGAAAUACUUCCCCAAAACAAAUCAUCGCCCAAAUUUUAUCAAGUUAUCAUACUAACGACUCAAUUUCAAUUCAUUAAGGUUUUCUGGUUUAGAAGAAUGACAAUAUCAAAUCAACAAUUAAUAAUAAUAAUAAUAAUAAUAUUUUCAAAAUAAUAAUAGUAAUAAUUUAAAUACAUGUGAAAUACAAGCUCCACUAAAAUAAUUUACUGAAAUAAUUUUCAAUUUUCAAAUAUAUUACAUAUAUAUUAUUAAAAUACAAAACCAAAAUUAAAUUUUAAUAAACUAAUUUCAAAAAAAUGACUAACAAUUCUGAAAAUACCAUCCGAGUUAGAAAUUCAAACUUUAAAUAUAUAACUAAUAAUUCUGAAAUUUAAUUAUUAUCCUAAAUUUUAAAAACUAAAAUUAUUAUUAUAUUACAAAAUCAUUGAAUCGAUUAGCCAUAAACAAAUCAUUCCCAAACAAACAACCAAUUAAAGAUGGAAGUUCCAUCACCAAAUUCUUUCCAAACAAAGUGAAAUCUAGUAAAAUCAAUGGAAGCUUCAUUGUCAAAGACCAGAUCUAUGCCGCCAUAUUCUUCUUUCAUAAAUUGCAAUAGAAAUAGUAAUUUCAAAUAUUCGAUAUAUAACAAGAAAUUCUUCAAUUAAUUAAAAGAAAUUAAAAAAAAAAUUCAAAGGUUCAUUCCCAAACAUUUAAUGGGGAUAUGAAAUUCAUUCAAAUCAAAAUCCAAUAUCCAAAAUUUCAUUCUAACGCUCCACCUCGCUCGUCUGAAUCUACACGCACGUCGUUCCUUUUUACCCUCGAGCCCACAUCUCCGCCAUUUCCGUCGGCUCAGACGUCGUUCCCUUUGGCUAUUCCGGUUGGGACGGGUAAGCAAUCAACAAUUGGUUUCUUCUUUAAUUUUCAAUCGGUGGUGGUAUUCUUUGAAUAAUAGUGAUGUUUGUGUAUAGAAGUGAAAAGAAAGGAGAUUAGGAUUGUCCUGAGUAUGAAGAUGAACUUUUUAAAGAAGAUGAACACUUCAUUUUUUUUUAUUUAAAAAAAAUUGUACUAAAUAAAAUUUAGUCUAUUUACUUUAAAUUCAUAUUUUUUGUAUUUUAUUGUUUCACAUUUGGGCAUAAGAUUUUACUAAUUAUCAUGCAGUCUUAAGUAAUUUUUUAUUUUAAUACCCUUUUUUUACAUUUCAUGUAUUUAUUUUGAAUUUUCAACAAAUUAAUAUUUGGUUUUAAAUUCUUUUAUUGUAAUUUUCAAGUUUAUUUAAUUUUCUUUUUCUUUUUAUAUUUUCUUUUAUUUUUAUUUUGUAUUUUUAAAAUAAUGUGCAAUUGAUUAUAAUUACUUUUGUGAAUCACUUUUGUGCAUAAAUACAUUAUGUGUGAUAGUAAUUGAUUAUAACGUAUUUAAUCACAUUAUAUAUUAGCCGUUGGAUGCACGAAGACUGAUGAAGUAGGCAGGGGUAGAGAAAUCAGUCCACAUGGCAAAACCCGUCCACAUCAGUAAAAAAAAUGGAUUUUUAUGCACAAUCAGCUUUUUCGUCUAUUUUUUUGGACGAAAAUUGAAAUUAAUGACCAUUUUGUAAUAUUUAAGAGUAUAAUUAUUCGAUUGUAACAAAAAAUAUUUCGGUAACCACAAUAAAAAUCGGACCCUAGUAUAGUGACAAAAAAGUUAUUUAUUGUAAGAUCCCGAAUUUUAUGAAAUAAAAGUAUUCAAUUUUAUUACAAUUAUUAUUUUAUUUCGUAAAUGGUUAAAUUGAUAAAAAGUUAAAGUUACGGGUGAUAUGUGAAAUUUUUUUGCAAAGUAAGCAAGUUAUUAUAAAAUAUUCAUUUGGUCGGGGAAUAUUCGUACGACGACACAAUCAUUGGUGGACCCUACAACGGAAGUAUUGUUGUAGUUAGAAAACACCAGAAUUAUCUUUUUAUAAAAAUAACGGCGAAAGUGUUACCGUUAAAAUUGUUUAACUACUUGGUAGUAAAAGUACAGUUAUACGCGUGAUUGCAUAGUAGCACAUGGUAUUGAUUAUUGAUGCUUACGUAAGAAGUCACUCAGUUAUACUCAAUUAUUGGCAAAAAGCACUUUUACCCCACUGUGGUUAUAGUGUUUUAAGCAAUUAGUCACUGUGCUUUUAAAAUAUUCAAUUGACCCACUAUGCUUUUUUAAAAUGUACAAUCAAGUCAUUCCGUC
RNAcentral lists this long non-coding RNA (4110 nucleotides) under Panax ginseng (ginseng). RNAcentral's name for it is "long non-coding RNA (PGIN_LNC014714)". The record is from RNAcentral. Lineage: Eukaryota; Viridiplantae; Streptophyta; Magnoliopsida; Apiales; Araliaceae.